Molecule: ribosomal RNA, 253 nt
Filed under: uncultured bacterium
Lineage: Bacteria
Description: partial 16S ribosomal RNA
Rfam family: Bacterial small subunit ribosomal RNA
Source: RNAcentral
UACGUAGGGGGCUAGCGUUGUCCGGAAUCAUUGGGCGUAAAGCGCGUGUAGGCGGUCCGGUAAGUCCGCUGUGAAAGUCGGGGGCUCAACCCUCGAAUGCCGGUGGAUACUGUCGGGCUAGAGUGCGGAAGAGGCGAGUGGAAUUCCUGGUGUAGCGGUGAAAUGCGCAGAUAUCAGGAGGAACACCGAUGGCGAAGGCAGGUCUCUGGGCAUUAACUGACGCUGAGGAGCGAAAGCAUGGGGAGCGAACAGG